This is a small nucleolar RNA of Amblyraja radiata (thorny skate), 70 nucleotides long. RefSeq annotates it as small nucleolar RNA SNORD50. NCBI's taxonomy places the organism in Eukaryota, Metazoa, Chordata, Chondrichthyes, Rajiformes, Rajidae. The transcript has a single exon. The record is from RefSeq and is a predicted model, not a curated record.
UAUCAAUGACGACAAAUAUCCCGAACCUGAAGGUCUGAUGAAAAAAACACACAGGUCUGACUGCUGCGAU